Molecule: small RNA, 29 nt
Filed under: Bombyx mori (domestic silkworm)
Lineage: Eukaryota; Metazoa; Arthropoda; Insecta; Lepidoptera; Bombycidae
Description: piRNA piR-bmo-1699485
Source: RNAcentral
UCAGUGGUUCUUCUGCUGACUAGAGGCUC